This is a long non-coding RNA of Hemicordylus capensis (graceful crag lizard), 324 nucleotides long. RefSeq lists it as uncharacterized. The record is from RefSeq and is a predicted model, not a curated record. NCBI's taxonomy places the organism in Eukaryota, Metazoa, Chordata, Lepidosauria, Squamata, Cordylidae. The transcript is spliced from 3 exons.
AGCAGUGCAAGGUUACAGCCAUGACUGAAGAGGUCCCAGUCUCCUGAUCUUGGAAACACCCACCAUUGCAGUUACAGUGCUUGCCUAUUCAGAUGCUGCUGCUGUAACCAUGAACAGCAUACCAAGACAGGAAGCCUGAUUCCUGCUGGAUCUACCACUAAAAUAUAUUUCAUAUUCUUGUUGAAAUUGGAAAUGGUGCUCUGUUGUGUCUGUGCUGAGAUUUUUAACAUUCAAUAAAAAGAUCAAUAAUUCAAAAACAACAUUAUGCCCAAGAGAAGCAGAAGAUCUUUCUCAAUUUCAAAUUUACUAUGAUUUACAUUUACC